UUAAUUCGAUGCAACGCGAAGAACCUUACCUGGUCUUGACAUCCCGGAGACCCUUAGGAAACUAGGGGGUGCUUCCAUCUGGAAGAAUCUGGAGACAGGUGCUGCAUGGCUGUCGUCAGCUCGUGUCGUGAGAUGUUGGGUUAAGUCCCGCAACGAGCGCAACCCUUGCCUUUAGUUGCCAGCAGUUCGGCUGGGCACUCUAAAGGGACUGCCGGUGUUAAACCGGAGGAAGGUGGGGAUGACGUCAAGUCCUCAUGGCCUUUAUGACCAGGGCUACACACGUACUACAAUGGCCGAUACAAAGGGCAGCGACACUGCGAGGUGAAGCCAAUCCCGUAAAAUCGGUCUCAGUCCGGAUUGGAGUCUGCAACUCGACUCCAUGAAGUUGGAAUCGCUAGUAAUCGUGGAUCAGCAUGCCACGGUGAAUACGUUCCCGGGCCUU
This 442-nucleotide ribosomal RNA is filed under the name uncultured Desulfobulbus sp. RNAcentral's name for it is "bacterial SSU rRNA". It matches the Rfam family "Bacterial small subunit ribosomal RNA", at positions 946 to 1382 of the family's 1533-position model. Lineage: Bacteria; Pseudomonadati; Thermodesulfobacteriota; Desulfobulbia; Desulfobulbales; Desulfobulbaceae. The record is from RNAcentral.